RNAcentral lists this ribosomal RNA (467 nucleotides) under uncultured bacterium. RNAcentral describes it as "partial 16S ribosomal RNA". It matches the Rfam family "Bacterial small subunit ribosomal RNA", at positions 28 to 507 of the family's 1533-position model. The record is from RNAcentral.
GACGAACGCUGGCGGCGUGCUUAACACAUGCAAGUCGAACGGAAAGGCCUCUUUCGGGGGGUACUCGAGUGGCGAACGGGUGAGUAACACGUGAGUAACCUGCCCUUGACUUUGGGAUAACUUCAGGAAACUGGGGCUAAUACCGGAUAGGAGCUCCUGCUGCAUGGUGGGGGUUGGAAAGUUUCGGCGGUUGGGGAUGGACUCGCGGGUUAUCAGCUUGUUGGUGGGGUAGUGGCUUACCAAGGCUUUGACGGGUAGCCGGCCUGUGAGGGUGACCGGCCACAUUGGGACUGAGAUACGGCCCAGACUCCGACGGGAGGCAGCAGGGGGGAAUAUUGCACAAUGGGUGGAAGCCGGAUGCAGCAACGCCGUGUGCGGGAGGACGGCCUUCGGGUUGUAAACCGCUUUCGCUCAUGACGAAGCUUUGUGUGACGGUAGUGGGUAAAGAAGCACCGGCUAACUACGUG